GCGCGAUGAUUCAAAUUUGGUGACUAAUGUCUGAGGCGAAUUGGCUAGCCUCGUCUGAAGAAGACGGAACCCAAGGUAUGGCUGUUCACCGCAAGAUCGAAAGUUUAGUCGCUGUAUGAGCGCU
Molecule: non-coding RNA, 124 nt
Organism: Onchocerca flexuosa
Lineage: Eukaryota; Metazoa; Nematoda; Chromadorea; Rhabditida; Onchocercidae
Source: Rfam